RNAcentral lists this ribosomal RNA (241 nucleotides) under uncultured bacterium. Its description in RNAcentral is "partial 16S ribosomal RNA". It matches the Rfam family "Bacterial small subunit ribosomal RNA", at positions 118 to 353 of the family's 1533-position model. The record is from RNAcentral.
UGAGCAAUCUGCCCUUCUCUUCGGAAUAAGCGUUGGAAACGACGUCUAAUGCCGAAUACGACCUCCUUUCGCAUGAUCGGAGGUGGAAAGCUCCGGCGGAGAAGGAUGAGCUCGCGGCCUAUCAGCUAGUUGGUGUGGGUAAUGGCCCACAAGGCGACGGACGGGUAGCCGGCCUGGAGGAGGGUGACCCGGCCACACGUGGGACUGAGACACGGCCCAGACCUCCGUACGGGGAGCAGCG